ACGCUCGACACCUACGGGAGACAGCAGUUGGGAAUAUUGGACAAUGGAGGAAACUCUGAUCCAGUGACGCCGCGUGAAGGAAGAAGGUCUUCGGAUUGUAAACUUAUUUUGUCAGGGAAGAAAAAUGACUGUACCUGAAGAAAAAGCACCGGCUAACUACGUGCUAGCAGCCGCGGUAAUCUGAGCGGGCUGGCAAGGC
Molecule: ribosomal RNA, 199 nt
Filed under: uncultured bacterium
Lineage: Bacteria
Description: partial 16S ribosomal RNA
Rfam family: Bacterial small subunit ribosomal RNA
Source: RNAcentral